RNAcentral lists this long non-coding RNA (1775 nucleotides) under Paramuricea clavata. The record is from RNAcentral. Lineage: Eukaryota; Metazoa; Cnidaria; Anthozoa; Malacalcyonacea; Plexauridae.
CACCUCUCCACACCUCCCCUCAAAAUCCGGCCGUGGUACAAAUCAUCGAAAACAAACAGAUGUUUUGAGUUUUAACUCAUUGAAUGCCAGCUCCCUCCAAUUGACAAUUAAAAUCGCCUACCAUUAGACAGAGUAAAACACUAAAGUAAGGUGGGUUAUUCCUAUAACCUCAAUUAUUUACUACAGCCUUUCAUUUCUGUUAAACGAAAUUGGCUAUUAAGUCAGUGAUUUAAAUCCAUUGUCAGGCGGGAUGAGGAUAAAUACAUUAUUAACAUUUUUGACAGUUGGUGUUGAGACAGAUCAAUAUGCAUAGCCAACGCAUUUGAGGACCAUGGGCAAUAUUUUAUCAGGCUGAGCCUGUUUUGUGUAUACUACGUACCCCGGUACCGUAGGUAGUUACUUACUAGAGGAUACACAAUAUAUGGCGGGUUCAACAGAAUUGCCCGAGAAUGGAUGAGAGUUUAGUAAAUGGCAUAGUAAACAAGAAAGUCCAACAUUAUUGUGAAUCAAUGUGUAAUUUUUAAAGCAAAAUUGUUAUUAAAAAAACACACAGAGCUUGUUCUGACAUUAUAGGGAUAUACCGGAUCUGGGUACCUGUAUCCAACAUAGACGGAUUUUCAUAUUUUUUACUGGGGUGGUGCCAGAAAUUUUAGGGGGGUGAGCCGUGAGCAGGUGACUGAAGCAACACAAAGUGUCACCAAACCCCAGUAAGGUCUAUAUUCUAGGGGUGGAGCACUAGAGCCGCGAGGGGGAGUCUAGAGAGCAGAAAACAAAGUAUCCCUGGAAAAAUUUGAAAAAAAUCAUGAUUUCUAGCUUCGAAAAAACGUUUUUUGAAGUUGUCAUAUCAAUGGAUUUGGCCUGUCCGAUCAGGGCCGUAGCUAGCAUGUAUAGUUUGGGGGUGGGGGGUGUAGGCCAAAUAUUUCCGAAUGACGAAAAAAAUUUCCGAAUAUUUCAUGGCAUACGAAGCAACGAAGGUGUUUGCUAUCUGGAAAAUGAAGACGCAAUUUACAAACAAAAAUACACAUAGCCCACAUAGUUUCCACAAAGACAUAUUACAGAAGUAUGCAGUGCCGUAGGAAGCUCUUUUUGAUUGGGGGCUGGGAACGAGGGCCGAAGGCCCGAGGAAAUUUUUAAAUUUAGAUUCUCUGAAAUGCCAUUUCCUGGACUUUGGGGGAAGUUUUGACAGAAUUCUGAUGGUCAGAAAACAGAGUUUUAAUAUGAUAUUUGUGAUGUUACUCUGAGUAUGCAUCCACAGUGGGCAAGCUGAAAAGUGUGCCUGGCCACGGUGGGAGUCGAACCUGCGACCUUUGGGAUACUAGUCCAAUGCUCUCCCACCUGAGCUACGUGGUCAAGUCGGUUCGACUUGUUGAUAUUUCGGAACUGAAUCUAGUUCCUUCGACAUCAGUGUAAUCUUUGAUAUGAUUUAUGUGUGUGUGUUGGUGUUGUGUACUCAAGUGAAUAUGAUGUUUGUGAUGUUACUCUGAGUAUGCAUCCACUGAUCCACACCGGGAAGCUGAAAAGUUAGCUUGCCCACGGUGGAAAUAAAACCCGCGACCUUUGGGAUGCUAGUCCAAUGCUCUGCCAACUGAGCUACGUGGUAAAGUCGGUUUGAGUUGUUAAUAGAGUUUUAGUAUGUCGAAAUUUACAAUUUACUUACAAUUUAGCAGAAUUAAAUGGGCGAAGUCGUAUUUAGCUAUAUAUUGGAGAAGUUGCAGGAAAGAGUAUGGGUACUAUAAUUCUUUGCGGUUUGUCAUGGAUAAUGUAGCCGCUUAAAA